This 933-nucleotide ribosomal RNA is filed under the name uncultured bacterium. RNAcentral describes it as "bacterial SSU rRNA". It matches the Rfam family "Bacterial small subunit ribosomal RNA", at positions 515 to 1447 of the family's 1533-position model. The record is from RNAcentral.
CCGCGGUGAUACGGAGGGUGCAAGCGUUAAUCGGAAUAACUGGGCGUAAAGCGCACGCAGGCGGUUUGUUAAGUCAGAUGUGAAAUCCCCGCGCUUAACGUGGGAACUGCAUUUGAAACUGGCAAGCUAGAGUCUUGUAGAGGGGGGUAGAAUUCCAGGUGUAGCGGUGAAAUGCGUAGAGAUCUGGAGGAAUACCGGUGGCGAAGGCGGCCCCCUGGACAAAGACUGACGCUCAGGUGCGAAAGCGUGGGGAGCAAACAGGAUUAGAUACCCUGGUAGUCCACGCUGUAAACGAUGUCGACUUGGAGGUUGUGCCCUUGAGGCGUGGCUUCCGGAGCUAACGCGUUAAGUCGACCGCCUGGGGAGUACGGCCGCAAGGUUAAAGCUCAAAUGAAUUGACGGGGGCCCGCACAAGCGGUGGAGCAUGUGGUUUAAUUCGAUGCAACGCGAAGAACCUUACCUACUCUUGACAUCCACGGAAUUCGCCAGAGAUGGCUUAGUGCCUUCGGGAACCGUGAGACAGGUGCUGCAUGGCUGUCGUCAGCUCGUGUUGUGAAAUGUUGGGUUAAGUCCCGCAACGAGCGCAACCCUUAUCCUUUGUUGCCAGCACGUAAUGGUGGGAACUCAAAGGAGACUGCCGGUGAUAAACCGGAGGAAGGUGGGGAUGACGUCAAGUCAUCAUGGCCCUUACGAGUAGGGCUACACACGUGCUACAAUGGCAUAUACAAAGAGAAGCGAACUCGCGAGAGCAAGCGGACCUCAUAAAGUAUGUCGUAGUCCGGAUUGGAGUCUGCAACUCGACUCCAUGAAGUCGGAAUCGCUAGUAAUCGUAGAUCAGAAUGCUACGGUGAAUACGUUCCCGGGCCUUGUACACACCGCCCGUCACACCAUGGGAGUGGGUUGCAAAAGAAGUAGGUAGCUUAACCUUCGGGA